Molecule: long non-coding RNA, 1424 nt
Filed under: Capra hircus (goat)
Lineage: Eukaryota; Metazoa; Chordata; Mammalia; Artiodactyla; Bovidae
Description: lncRNA (ENSCHIG00000007026.1)
Source: RNAcentral
GCAUUAGGCCAUAUGAUUAUUCAACUUUCCCUUCAUUACCAGAAGGCAGUGUGAAUAUAUUUGGUGUUUGCAGGAAAGUUCAAUAUCUUUUUGUAAUUCUUAUUAAUUUUCUUUCUUUUUGAGCAGAGGGAAAUGGCACUGUGACCCAGUCUCCAGAUCCCCAUUGGCAUAACAAUCAAACUGUUGAGGCACUGGCACAAGAAACAUGGAUGAGCACCAACAAGGGAGUCUACAUUGGAAUCUCGGUUACUAUUUUGGCACUGUUGGUCACGUUUGUGGUUUUCUGGAUUAGGAGAAGAUAUUUUUGCCUGGGUAGCAAGGUGGAGCUACUACGUGUGAUUCCAUUGAAAGAUUCUCGCAUUGGAGCUUUGAAAAAUGCAGCUCUGAAGCCUAUCCAAGCAGAAGACAAUGUCUACAUUAUUGAUGACUAUCACUAAGUCCUGGAUCCAGAUUCUAAAUUGUUAUGCCCUUGAUGGUAGAAAACAGUGACCAGAUACCAUGUCAGAGUCCUCUGAAUCAGCUGCUGAAUUUUUCAGUCAGUUUCCCAUGGCAUUCCUAUGAGUCAGGGACACUGGGUAGAGUGAUGCUAGGUUGACUGUGAAAAGUCAACCUCUGUCACAGAGUCCUAAUUUUUUAUACUAAAUUGGCUCAAACUUGCUGAUCGUUGCAGAGGUCUCUUCAAAACAUGAAACAUACUUCUUAGAAUUGUACAUUCUCUUUAGACCUCAUGAAUCCUGUUUUCCAUCAAGAAUUCUCAUUGGGAAAAUAGGAAAAAAUACUUCUAUCUCAGUUGCCAAGGCUGUCAAGAUUACCUGAAUACAACUUAGAAUCAGGACAUCUAUUCUGGAACUUAGAGGACUUAACAAGCAAGCACUUCAUGCUUGUCCUUUUUUUUUUUUUUUUAAAUCAAGUGAUUCCAAAUGUGAUAUUGCUUAGGGUCCCCAAAGUUUCAAAUCAUGGUGUGUACAGGUUUUUAUUUACCCAAUAGAAAAAUGGCAGUGAGUGUAAUUUUUCCAUUAUAGACAAAUUUGUUUUCUCAGGGUCCUGGAAAUACAAGGCAUUAAAUGCUUUCUUUGGGAGAAGGAUGGUAUUUUAGCAGUUAGAAGAAGCAAUGGUAUUGAGUAGACCAUGAAGACACCAGGAGAAGAAAAUCAAUAGCCAUAUAAUUUACGAUACUUUUGCUACAUCAGUGCCACAGUUCUAGAUGCUUAUGUUGACAACUGGAGGCCUCUGAUUUUUAGAACGAGGCAGGGCAGAAAUAAAUACAAGGAAAAAAGAGAGGGAAGGAGUAGGAAAGAAGCUUUCUGUUUUAUAAAGUAGAGCUUGCAAAUAUAAUAGUAUUGUUUGAUAGUGUUACCAAUUUCUACAAAAUGCUAAAUUGUCCUCAAACCAUUGAGGACAAUGUCCAAAAUGCUAAAUUGUCC